Molecule: ribosomal RNA, 395 nt
Filed under: uncultured bacterium
Lineage: Bacteria
Description: bacterial SSU rRNA
Rfam family: Bacterial small subunit ribosomal RNA
Source: RNAcentral
UCGGGAAUUUUGGGCAAUGGGCGAAAGCCUGACCCAGCAACGCCGCGUGAGGGAUGAAGUAUUUCGGUAUGUAAACCUCGAAAGAAUGGGAAGAAUAAAUGACGGUACCAUUUAUAAGCUCCGGCUAACUACGUGCCAGCAGCCGCGGUAAUACGUAGGGAGCAAGCGUUGUUCGGAUUUACUGGGCGUAAAGGGCGCGUAGGCGGCGCGGUAAGUCACUUGUGAAAUCUCUGAGCUUAACUCAGAACGGCCAAGUGAUACUGCUGUGCUAGAGUGCGGAAGAGGCAACCGGAAUUCUUGGUGUAGCGGUGAAAUGCGUAGAUAUCAAGAGGAACACCAGAGUCGAAGGCGGGUUGCUGGGCCGACACUGACGCUGAUGCGCGAAAGCCAGGGGA